AGGGAGCUCAUAGCUGGGGGUAUUAUCCAAUGAAGACAUUCGCAUGAUAGAUGAAGUCUUGUCACAGAGUCUGUUAUUUCCUGUAAGGUACUGAGAACACUAUCAUUACGGGCUGAAAGGUGAAAGUACUUAGAUAAGAAAAUAGCAGACAGGGACCCCAAAGAAGUUUAAGCAACCCUGGACUGCAGGAUAUCCUGUCCUGGUUCCAAUCAUCAGAAAAAGGUGUUCUUUA
Long non-coding RNA from Meriones unguiculatus (Mongolian gerbil), 232 nucleotides. RefSeq lists it as uncharacterized. The transcript is spliced from 3 exons. NCBI's taxonomy places the organism in Eukaryota, Metazoa, Chordata, Mammalia, Rodentia, Muridae. The record is from RefSeq and is a predicted model, not a curated record.